RNAcentral lists this ribosomal RNA (253 nucleotides) under uncultured bacterium. Its description in RNAcentral is "partial 16S ribosomal RNA". It matches the Rfam family "Bacterial small subunit ribosomal RNA", at positions 524 to 776 of the family's 1533-position model. The record is from RNAcentral.
UACGGGGGGAGCAAGCGUUGUUCGGAUUCACUGGGUUUAAAGGGUGCGUAGGCGGGCAGGUAAGUCCGUGGUGAAAUCUCUGAGCUUAACUCAGAAACUGCCAUGGAUACUAUUUGUCUUGAAUAUUGUGGAGGUAAGCGGAAUAUGUCAUGUAGCGGUGAAAUGCUUAGAUAUGACAUAGAACACCAAUUGCGAAGGCAGCUUACUACACAGUUAUUGACGCUGAGGCACGAAAGCGUGGGGAUCAAACAGG